Molecule: ribosomal RNA, 498 nt
Filed under: uncultured bacterium
Lineage: Bacteria
Description: partial 16S ribosomal RNA
Rfam family: Bacterial small subunit ribosomal RNA
Source: RNAcentral
GACGAACGCUGGCGGCGUGCCUAAUACAUGCAAGUCGAGCGGACGAAUCGAAAGCUUGCUUUUGAUUCGUUAGCGGCGGACGGGUGAGUAACACGUGGGCAACCUGCCCUGUAGACGGGGAUAACACCGAGAAAUCGGUGCUAAUACCGGAUAACACGAAAUGUCGCAUGACGUUUCGUUGAAAGACGGCGCAAGCUGUCGCUACAGGAUGGGCCCGGGUCGCAUUAGCUAGUUGGUGAGGUAACGGCUCACCAAGGCGACAAUGCGUAGCCGACCUGAGAGAGUGAUCGGCCACACGGGGAGUGAGACACGGCCCAGACUCCUACGGGAGGCAGCAGUAGGGAAUCUUCCGCAGUGGUCGGAAGUCUGACGGAGCAACGCCGCGUGAGCGAAGGAGGCCUUCGGGUCGUAAAGCUCUGUUGUUAGGGAAGAACAGGUAACGCAGGAACUGGCGUUACCGUGACGGUACCUAGCGAGAAAGCCACGGCUAACUACGUG